AGAGUUUGAUCCUGGCUCAGGACGAACGCUGGCGGCGUGCCUAACACAUGCAAGUCGAACGGAGAAUUCAAUAAGCUUGCUUAAAGAAUUCUUAGUGGCGGACGGGUGAGUAACGCGUGGGUAACCUACCCAUAAAGCCGGGACAACCCUUGGAAACGAGGGCUAAUACCGGAUAAUCUUAAGUUUUGGCAUCAGAAUUUAAGGAAAGAUGGCCUCUGAAGAUGCUAUCGAUUAUGGAUGGACCCGCGUCUGAUUAGCUAGUUGGUGGGGUAAAGGCCUACCAAGGCGACGAUCAGUAGCCGGCCUGAGAGGGUGAACGGCCACACUGGGACUGAGACACGGCCCAGACUCCUACGGGAGGCAGCAGUGGGGAAUCUUCCGCAAUGGACGAAAGUCUGACGGAGCAACGCCGCGUGUAUGAUGAAGGUCUUCGGAUUGUAAAGUACU
RNAcentral lists this ribosomal RNA (447 nucleotides) under uncultured bacterium. Its description in RNAcentral is "bacterial SSU rRNA". It matches the Rfam family "Bacterial small subunit ribosomal RNA", at positions 8 to 434 of the family's 1533-position model. The record is from RNAcentral.